GUCGUACGCUUCUUUUUCACCGGAGCUUGCUCCACCGGAAAAAGAAGAGUGGCGAACGGGUGAGUAACACGUGGGUAACCUGCCCAUCAGAAGGGGAUAACACUUGGAAACAGGUGCUAAUACCGUAUAACAAUCGAAACCGCAUGGUUUUGAUUUGAAAGGCGCUUUCGGGUGUCGCUGAUGGAUGGACCCGCGGUGCAUUAGCUAGUUGGUGAGGUAACGGCUCACCAAGGCCACGAUGCAUAGCCGACCUGAGAGGGUGAUCGGCCACAUUGGGACUGAGACACGGCCCAAACUCCUACGGGAGGCAGCAGUAGGGAAUCUUCGGCAAUGGACGAAAGUCUGACCGAGCAACGCCGCGUGAGUGAAGAAGGUUUUCGGAUCGUAAAACUCUGUUGUUAGAGAAGAACAAGGAUGAGAGUAACUGUUCAUCCCUUGACGGUAUCUAACCAGAAAGCCACGGCUAACUACGUGCCAGCAGCCGCGGUAAUACGUAGGUGGCAAGCGUUGUCCGGAUUUAUUGGGCGUAAAGCGAGCGCAGGCGGUUUCUUAAGUCUGAUGUGAAAGCCCCCGGCUCAACCGGGGAGGGUCAUUGGAAACUGGGAGACUUGAGUGCAGAAGAGGAGAGUGGAAUUCCAUGUGUAGCGGUGAAAUGCGUAGAUAUAUGGAGGAACACCAGUGGCGAAGGCGGCUCUCUGGUCUGUAACUGACGCUGAGGCUCGAAAGCGUGGGGAGCAAACAGGAUUAGAUACCCUGGUAGUCCACGCCGUAAACGAUGAGUGCUAAGUGUUGGAGGGUUUCCGCCCUUCAGUGCUGCAGCUAACGCAUUAAGCACUCCGCCUGGGGAGUACGACCGCAAGGUUGAAACUCAAAGGAAUUGACGGGGGCCCGCACAAGCGGUGGAGCAUGUGGUUUAAUUCGAAGCAACGCGAAGAACCUUACCAGGUCUUGACAUCCUUUGACCACUCUAGAGAUAGAGCUUCCCCUUCGGGGGCAAAGUGACAGGUGGUGCAUGGUUGUCGUCAGCUCGUGUCGUGAGAUGUUGGGUUAAGUCCCGCAACGAGCGCAACCCUUAUUGUUAGUUGCCAUCAUUCAGUUGGGCACUCUAGCAAGACUGCCGGUGACAAACCGGAGGAAGGUGGGGAUGACGUCAAAUCAUCAUGCCCCUUAUGACCUGGGCUACACACGUGCUACAAUGGGAAGUACAACGAGUCGCGAAGUCGCGAGGCUAAGCUAAUCUCUUAAAGCUUCUCUCAGUUCGGAUUGUAGGCUGCAACUCGCCUACAUGAAGCCGGAAUCGCUAGUAAUCGCGGAUCAGCACGCCGCGGUGAAUACGUUCCCGGGCCUUGUACACACCGCCCGUCACACCACGAGAGUUUGUAACACCCGAAGUCGGUGA
This 1399-nucleotide ribosomal RNA is filed under the name Enterococcus durans. RNAcentral describes it as "bacterial SSU rRNA". It matches the Rfam family "Bacterial small subunit ribosomal RNA", at positions 61 to 1433 of the family's 1533-position model. Lineage: Bacteria; Bacillati; Bacillota; Bacilli; Lactobacillales; Enterococcaceae. The record is from RNAcentral.